AAGAUAAUUUAAUCUCAGCAGGUAUUGCUGGAGCAAGAAAAGAUGUCUCUAUUUGUACAUCAUGCCAUAAUGAUGGAAUAAAUUAAGCUUUAUACUUGACAAUGGAACAUUGCAGGAGGGUGGUGCCUUUACAUUACCUUAUUUACAUACAUACAGAGGGUCAGCUAAGACUGUUUUCAACUCUUGGAGAUAAAAUUCGAAUUGGAAGUUUGGCUGUGUGUAUCUAG
This 227-nucleotide long non-coding RNA is filed under the name Numida meleagris (helmeted guineafowl). Its description in RNAcentral is "lncRNA (ENSNMEG00000023177.1)". Lineage: Eukaryota; Metazoa; Chordata; Aves; Galliformes; Numididae. The record is from RNAcentral.